AACCUAGCACACCUGCGGUGUGUACCUGCGGAGGGAUCAUUACCUAGAGUUGUAGGCUUUGCCUGCUAUCUCUUACCCAUGUCUUUUGAGUACCUUACGUUUCCUCGGUGGGUUCGCCCGCCGGUUGGACAAAACUUAAACCCUUUGUAGUUGCAAUCAGCGUCUGAAAAAACUUAAUAGUUACAACUUUUAACAAUGGAUCU
Molecule: unclassified non-coding RNA, 203 nt
Filed under: soil metagenome
Description: partial contains 5.8S ribosomal RNA, internal transcribed spacer 2, and large subunit ribosomal RNA
Source: RNAcentral